RNAcentral lists this ribosomal RNA (456 nucleotides) under uncultured bacterium. Its description in RNAcentral is "bacterial SSU rRNA". It matches the Rfam family "Bacterial small subunit ribosomal RNA", at positions 340 to 786 of the family's 1533-position model. The record is from RNAcentral.
UACGGAAGGCAGCAGUGGGGAAUAUUGCACAAUGGGCGAAAGCCUGAUGCAGCUAUGCCGCGUGUAUGAAGAAGGCCUUAGGGUUGUAAAGUACUUUCAUCGGGGAGGAAAAACAAAACUAAUAAUUUUAUUUCUUGACGUUACCCGAAAAAGAAGCACCGGCUAACUCCGUGCCAGCAGCCGCGGUAAUACGGAGGGUGCUAGCGUUAAUCAGAAUUACUGGGCGUAAAGAGCACGUAGGUGGUUUUUUUAAGUCAGAUGUGAAAUCCCUGGGCUUAACCUAGGAACUGCAUUUUGAAACUGAAAUACUAGAGUAUCGUAGAGGGAGGUAGAAUUCUAGGUGUAGCGGUGAAAUGUGUAGAUAUCUGGAGGAAUACCUGUGGCGAAAGCGGCCUCCUAAACGAAUACUGACACUGAGGGUGCGAAAGCGUGGGGAGCAAACAGGGAUUAGAUACC